Molecule: ribosomal RNA, 253 nt
Filed under: uncultured bacterium
Lineage: Bacteria
Description: partial 16S ribosomal RNA
Rfam family: Bacterial small subunit ribosomal RNA
Source: RNAcentral
UACGUAGGGCGCAAGCGUUGUCCGGAAUUAUUGGGCGUAAAGAGCUCGUAGGUGGUUUGUCGCGUUGUUCGUGAAAACCUGAGGCUUAACCUUGGGCGUGCGGGCGAUACGGGCAGACUGGAGUACUGCAGGGGAGACUGGAAUUCCUGGUGUAGCGGUGGAAUGCGCAGAUAUCAGGAGGAACACCGAUGGCGAAGGCAGGUCUCUGGGCAUUAACUGACGCUGAGGAGCGAAAGCAUGGGGAGCGAACAGG